GUGGGGAAUUUUGGACAAUGGGGGCAACCCUGAUCCAGCCAUGCCGCGUGCGGGAAGAAGGCCUUCGGGUUGUAAACCGCUUUUGUCAGGGAAGAAAUCCUUUGGGUUAAUACCUCGGAGGGAUGACGGUACCUGAAGAAUAAGCACCGGCUAACUACGUGCCAGCAGCCGCGGUAAUACGUAGGGUGCAAGCGUUAAUCGGAAUUACUGGGCGUAAAGCGUGCGCAGGCGGUUAUAUAAGACAGAUGUGAAAUCCCCGGGCUCAACCUGGGAACUGCAUUUGUGACUGUAUAGCUAGAGUACGGUAGAGGGGGAUGGAAUUCCGCGUGUAGCAGUGAAAUGCGUAGAUAUGCGGAGGAACACCGAUGGCGAAGGCAAUCCCCUGGACCUGUACUGACGCUCAUGCACGAAAGCGUGGGGAGCAAACAGGAUUAGAAACCCUAGUAGUCC
Molecule: ribosomal RNA, 450 nt
Filed under: uncultured bacterium
Lineage: Bacteria
Description: bacterial SSU rRNA
Rfam family: Bacterial small subunit ribosomal RNA
Source: RNAcentral